GAUGAAGAACGCAGUGAAAUGCGAUAAGUAAUGUGAAUUGCAGAAUUCAGUGAAUCAUCGAAUCUUUGAACGCACAUUGCGCCCCCUGGUAUUCCGGGGGGCAUGCCUGUCCGAGCGUCAUUGCUGCCCUCAAGCACGGCUUGUGUGUUGGGCCUCCGUCCUCCUCCCGGGGGACGGGCCCGAAAGGCAGCGGCGGCGCCGCGUCCGGUCCUCGAGCGUAUGGGGCUUCGUCACCCGCUCUUGUAGGCCCGGCCGGCGCUUGCCGACACAUCAAUCUUUUUUCCAGGUUGACCUCGGAUCAGGUAGGGAUACCCGCUGAACUUAAGCAUAUCAAUAAGCGGAGGA
RNAcentral lists this unclassified non-coding RNA (345 nucleotides) under soil metagenome. Its description in RNAcentral is "partial contains 5.8S ribosomal RNA, internal transcribed spacer 2, and large subunit ribosomal RNA". The stretch from base 1 to 120 matches the Rfam family "5.8S ribosomal RNA", at positions 35 to 154 of the family's 154-position model. The record is from RNAcentral.